Molecule: ribosomal RNA, 696 nt
Filed under: Zenaida macroura (mourning dove)
Lineage: Eukaryota; Metazoa; Chordata; Aves; Columbiformes; Columbidae
Description: partial 12S ribosomal RNA
Rfam family: Bacterial small subunit ribosomal RNA
Source: RNAcentral
UCACACAAGAGACCCAAACCAAUCGUUUACGGCGUAAAGAGUGGACUCAUGCCUAUCACAACAUUUAAGGUCGAAACGUAACUGAGCUGUCAUAAGCUUAAGGUACGCCUAAAGCCUCCCUGAACAUGGCCUUAAUUGAUAUGAUCUAUUAAACUCCACGAAAGCCAGGACACAAACUGGGAUUAGAUACCCCACUAUGCCUGGCCCUAAAUCUAGAUGCUUAUGUUACUAAAGCAUCCGCCCGAGGACUACGAGCACAAACGCUUAAAACUCUAAGGACUUGGCGGUGCCCUAAACCCACCUAGAGGAGCCUGUUCUAUAAUCGAUAACCCACGAUGCACCCGACCACUUCUUGCCAAACACAGCCUACAUACCGCCGUCGCCAGCUCACCUCUCCUGAAAGUACAGCAGUGAGCACAAUAGCCCCAGCCCCGCUAGCAAGACAGGUCAAGGUAUAGCCUAUGGAGUGGAAGAAAUGGGCUACAUUUUCUAACCUAGAACACCCCACGGAAGGGGGCAUGAAACAGCCCCCAGAAGGCGGAUUUAGCAGUAAAGCGGGAUAACAAAGCCCUCUUUAAACUGGCCCUGAGGCACGUACAUACCGCCCGUCACCCUCCUCACAAGCUUUAAACUUAUAAUAAAUAAUACGCCAGCCCGCUAAAGAUGAGGUAAGUCGUAACAAGGUAAGUGUACCGG